AUGAACGCUGGCGGCGUGCCUAAUACAUGCCAGUCGAGCGAACAGACGAGGAGCUUGCUCCUCUGACGUUAGCGGCGGACGGGUGAGUAACACGUGGAUAACCUACCUAUAAGACUGGGAUAACUUCGGGAAACCGGAGCUAAUACCGGAUAAUAUAUUGAACCGCAUGGUUCAAUAGUGAAAGACGGUUUUGCUGUCACUUAUAGAUGGAUCCGCGCCGCAUUAGCUAGUUGGUAAGGUAACGGCUUACCAAGGCAACGAUGCGUAGCCGACCUGAGAGGGUGAGCGGCCACCCUGGAACGGAGACACGGUCCAGACUCCUACGGGAGGCAGCAGUAGGGAAUCUUCCGCAAUGGGCGAAAGCCUGACGGAGCAACGCCGCGUGAGUGAUGAAGGUCUUCGGAUCGUAAAACUCUGUUAUUAGGGAAGAACAAAUGUGUAAGUAACUAUGCACGUCUUGACGGUACCUAAUCAGAAAGCCACGGCUAACUACGUG
RNAcentral lists this ribosomal RNA (496 nucleotides) under uncultured bacterium. Its description in RNAcentral is "partial 16S ribosomal RNA". It matches the Rfam family "Bacterial small subunit ribosomal RNA", at positions 29 to 507 of the family's 1533-position model. The record is from RNAcentral.